UGCAUUGAUUAACCUAAAACUUGCACCUUGAGACACGCAUUUCGUUGGCGAACAAACAUCAUCGAGCAAGAACUCUGGUAGAAAAAAGGUGAACUCUCUGUGACAAUUUCCCCCAACCCUCGUCAGUAAGUUGCUUAAAAGAAAAAAAUUAAUACAAACAAAAUACCCGUGGGACCCAGUUGUAAAGGACCGGGUAAGUGCCGGUAAGUGACUCUUGGUGGUAAACAAGACCGGUCUCAGUGGUAAGUGCCGGUACGCAUUGCCCGGAGAACAUCCAAAUCAAGCCCGAGUGGUAAGUGCCGGUAAGUUGCUCACAAAAUGACUGAGUACCUGCCUCCUAACUUGCUGGCGCUAUUUGCCCCGAGGGAGCCGAUUCCGUUUCUGCCGCCACCGGACAAACUUCCCCAUGAGAAGAAGAACCGUGGAUACUCGGGGGUGGGAGAAUUCCUCGCCUCCUUUGAAGACCCCCUGGACACGCCUGCCCCAAGGAAGGUCGAAACCCGCGAAGAACGUCUCGAUCGUCGCCGUAGAGAAAAAGAGGAGCAAGUCGCCUACAAAUUGGAGCAAGAAAUAGCAGUGUGGGACCCACAGAACCUACCCACGGCCACCUCCGACCCCUUCAAGACGCUCUUCGUGGCCCGCAUCAAUUACGAUUCGUCCGAGUCGAAGCUACGGCGCGAGUUUGAGGUGUACGGCCCCAUCAAGAAAAUUGUGGUGAGCCACAAUGUCAAUGAUGGCAAACCCCGAGGCUAUGCGUUCAUCGAGUACGAGCACGAGCGGGACAUGCACACUGCGUAUAAACACGCUGAUGGCAAGAAGAUCGAUGGUCGCCGCGUUCUGGUGGAUGUCGAACGCGCCCGGACGGUGAAGGGCUGGUUGCCCCGGCGUCUGGGUGGAGGCCUCGGAGGCACCCGACGUGGCGGCCCCGAAGUCAAUCUCAAGCACUCGGGCCGCGAGGACAAUGAAAGAGAGCGAGAGCGGUACCGGAUGGAGCGCGAACGGGACAUGCGUCCGGCCGAGUGGGACAGAGACCGCGACCGGCGCCGCUCGCGGAGCCGAGAACGCGGCGGUGGCAGCGAGCGUGGUGAGCGGCGCCGCCGUUCCCGCAGCAGGAGUCGUGAGAGGAGCGAACGGGGUGAGCGGAAGAGGCACCGUUCGCGCUCCAGGGAGGCCAGAGAGCGUCGACCCCCCGCUGAAGACUUGGAGGAAAACGGUUCCACUCGGGGCCGUGACCGCAAACGCUCGCGUCGCAGCCGCUCAAAGGACCGGACGGAGCGGAAGAAGGACAAGAAGCGCGACAGAGAAAGGGACAGAGAGUCUCGCAAGGAGCGGCGCGACCGGUACGCGGAGCCAGACGAGCCCCGAAUCAAGGAGGAGCCCAUCGACGACUACCCCGACUACUUGGAUCCCACGCCCGACUUUGCAGACGUGGACAACUACGGCAGUGCGGCCAUCAAGUACGAGCGCAUGUUGGCCAUGAGCGAGGCGGCGGCGGCGCAGCGUGCGGCAUCGAUGGCGCAGACCCAGGAGGACUACGAGGACAACCAGUACUAAAAAUCGGACGUAUCUCCGUCUGACAGAGCAGGAGUUUGACUCACUUCCCAUUGAUAUCCUUGCCCAGGGCAUCGUUAGCCUGUUUGUGACCAUGUACGGUUUGCUUCAUGUUGUCGGGGAAUUCAAAGAAAUCCGAGCCACCGU
RNA transcript from Neocloeon triangulifer, 1698 nucleotides. It is a transcript of the gene named U1 small nuclear ribonucleoprotein 70 kDa-like, with no coding region annotated. The record is from RefSeq and is a predicted model, not a curated record. The transcript has 3 exons. NCBI's taxonomy places the organism in Eukaryota, Metazoa, Arthropoda, Insecta, Ephemeroptera, Baetidae.